RNAcentral lists this ribosomal RNA (625 nucleotides) under uncultured bacterium. Its description in RNAcentral is "bacterial SSU rRNA". The stretch from base 1 to 542 matches the Rfam family "Bacterial small subunit ribosomal RNA", at positions 338 to 873 of the family's 1533-position model. The record is from RNAcentral.
CCUACGGGAGGCAGCAGUGGGGAAUUUUGGACAAUGGGCGAAAGCCUGAUCCAGCCAUGCCGCGUGCAGGAUGAAGGCCUUCGGGUUGUAAACUGCUUUUGUACGGAACGAAAAGCCUCUUUCUAAUAAAGAGGGGUCAUGACGGUACCGUAAGAAUAAGCACCGGCUAACUACGUGCCAGCAGCCGCGGUAAUACGUAGGGUGCGAGCGUUAAUCGGAAUUACUGGGCGUAAAGCGUGCGCAGGCGGUUAUAUAAGACAGUUGUGAAAUCCCCGGGCUCAACCUGGGAACUGCAUCUGUGACUGUAUAGCUAGAGUACGGUAGAGGGGGAUGGAAUUCCGCGUGUAGCAGUGAAAUGCGUAGAUAUGCGGAGGAACACCGAUGGCGAAGGCAAUCCCCUGGACCUGUACUGACGCUCAUGCACGAAAGCGUGGGGAGCAAACAGGAUUAGAUACCCUGGUAGUCCACGCCCUAAACGAUGUCAACUGGUUGUUGGGAAUUCACUUUCUCAGUAACGAAGCUAACGCGUGAAGUUGACCGCCUGGGGGAGGUACGGCCGCGAGGUAGAACGUACGAAGAAGUAGACGGCGUGAGACGUGCGACGGACGACGACGACGGGAGGAGG